AACAGCAAAAAAAGUGAUGUAGUCUUAUUGGUGCUAAAGGGCCCAAGGUUAAGAACCCAUGUUUUGUUUAUUGUAUUGUAUCUGCUGGCUUCUAUGAAUCCUCCUGUUGUAAUUUCUGUAACCUUCCAAUCCUGAACAGUCAAGAAGCAGAACUAAUCUACUGCAGAGAUUUACUGCAGCCAGCCAACUACCAUUCUCACCCAUCUCUCUCUUUGCAGAACCCCAGAAUGCCAGCUACCUCAUCAGGAAGAGCAAAUGCUGCAUCAGAGCUUCCGAAUCUUUCAAGUCUGUCCCAUAGUAUCUGAAGCAAAGUGCUGAUGUAGUCAAUACUCUCUCAAAGGAGUAGCCUUUUUAAAAAACACAGUCUGUACAACAGUAUGCUCAGUAUUUAUAGUCUGUUUUCCUCCUCUCAUUGCCCUGAGUCACACCUUAAAAAAAA
Long non-coding RNA from Gopherus evgoodei (Goodes thornscrub tortoise), 439 nucleotides. RefSeq lists it as uncharacterized. The transcript has 2 exons. The record is from RefSeq and is a predicted model, not a curated record. NCBI's taxonomy places the organism in Eukaryota, Metazoa, Chordata, Testudines, Testudinidae.